This 317-nucleotide ribosomal RNA is filed under the name uncultured eukaryote. Its description in RNAcentral is "partial large subunit ribosomal RNA". It matches the Rfam family "Eukaryotic large subunit ribosomal RNA", at positions 40 to 350 of the family's 3401-position model. The record is from RNAcentral.
AUAUCAGUAAGCGGAGGAAAAGAAACUAACAAGGAUUCCCCUAGUAACGGCGAGUGAAGCGGGAAAAGCUCAAAUUUAAAAUCUGGUGUGCCUUUGGUCACCCGAGUUGUAAUCUAUAGAGGCGUUUUCUGUGCUGGACCGUGUCCAAGUCCCUUGGAACAGGGUAUCAAAGAGGGUGACAAUCCCGUACUUGACACGACAACCAGUGCUCUGUGAUACGUCUUCUACGAGUCGGGUUGUUUGGGAAUGCAGCUCAAAAUGGGUGGUAAAUUUCAUCUAAAGCUAAAUAUUGGCCAGAGACCGAUAGCGCACAAGUA